RNAcentral lists this ribosomal RNA (495 nucleotides) under uncultured bacterium. RNAcentral's name for it is "partial 16S ribosomal RNA". It matches the Rfam family "Bacterial small subunit ribosomal RNA", at positions 28 to 507 of the family's 1533-position model. The record is from RNAcentral.
GACGAACGCUGGCGGCGUGCCUAAUACAUGCAAGUAGAACGCUGAAGGAGGAGCUUGCUUCUCUGGAUGAGUUGCGAACGGGUGAGUAACGCGUAGGUAACCUGCCUGGUAGCGGGGGAUAACUAUUGGAAACGAUAGCUAAUACCGCAUAAUAGUAGAUGUUGCAUGACAUUUGCUUAAAAGGUGCAAUUGCAUCACUACCAGAUGGACCUGCGUUGUAUUAGCUAGUUGGUGGGGUAACGGCUCACCAAGGCGACGAUACAUAGCCGACCUGAGAGGGGGGUCGGCCACACUGGGACUGAGACACGGCCCAGACUCCUACGGGAGGCAGCAGUAGGGAAUCUUCGGCAAUGGACGGAAGUCUGACCGAGCAACGCCGCGUGAGUGAAGAAGGUUUUCGGAUCGUAAAGCUCGGUUGUAAGAGAAGAACGAGUGUGAGAGUGGAAAGUUCACACUGUGACGGUAUCUUACCAGAAAGGGACGGCUAACUACGUG